AGCGGCAGCGGAAGUAGCUUGCUACUUUGCCGGCGAGCGGCGGACGGGUGAGUAAUGUCUGGGAAACUGCCUGAUGGAGGGGGAUAACUACUGGAAACGGUAGCUAAUACCGCAUAACGUCGCAAGACCAAAGAGGGGGACCUUCGGGCCUCUUGCCAUCAGAUGUGCCCAGAUGGGAUUAGCUAGUAGGUGGGGUAACGGCUCACCUAGGCGACGAUCCCUAGCUGGUCUGAGAGGAUGACCAGCCACACUGGAACUGAGACACGGUCCAGACUCCUACGGGAGGCAGCAGUGGGGAAUAUUGCACAAUGGGCGCAAGCCUGAUGCAGCCAUGCCGCGUGUAUGAAGAAGGCCUUCGGGUUGUAAAGUACUUUCAGCGGGGAGGAAGGCGAUAAGGUUAAUAACCUUGUCGAUUGACGUUACCCGCAGAAGAAGCACCGGCUAACUCCGUGCCAGCAGCCGCGGUAAUACGGAGGGUGCAAGCGUUAAUCGGAAUUACUGGGCGUAAAGCGCACGCAGGCGGUCUGUCAAGUCGGAUGUGAAAUCCCCGGGCUCAACCUGGGAACUGCAUUCGAAACUGGCAGGCUAGAGUCUUGUAGAGGGGGGUAGAAUUCCAGGUGUAGCGGUGAAAUGCGUAGAGAUCUGGAGGAAUACCGGUGGCGAAGGCGGCCCCCUGGACAAAGACUGACGCUCAGGUGCGAAAGCGUGGGG
This 711-nucleotide ribosomal RNA is filed under the name Enterobacter asburiae. Its description in RNAcentral is "bacterial SSU rRNA". It matches the Rfam family "Bacterial small subunit ribosomal RNA", at positions 65 to 766 of the family's 1533-position model. Lineage: Bacteria; Pseudomonadati; Pseudomonadota; Gammaproteobacteria; Enterobacterales; Enterobacteriaceae. The record is from RNAcentral.